AGUGAACGCUGGCGGUAGGCCUAACACAUGCAAGUCGAACGGCAGCACAGUAAGAGCUUGCUCUUACGGGUGGCGAGUGGCGGACAGGUGAGGAAUACGUCGGAAUCUACUUUUUCGUGGGGGAUAACGUAGGGAAACUUACGCUAAUACCGCAUACGACCUACGGGUGAAAGCAGGGGAUCUUCGGACCUUGCGCGAUUGAAUGAGCCGAUGUCGGAUUAGCUAGUUGGCGGGGUAAAGGCCCACCAAGGCGACGAUCCGUAGCUGGUCUGAGAGGAUGAUCAGCCACACUGGAACUGAGACACGGUCCAGACUCCUACGGGAGGCAGCAGUGGGGAAUAUUGGACAAUGGGCGCAAGCCUGAUCCAGCCAUACCGCGUGGGUGAAGAAGGCCUUCGGGUUGUAAAGCCCUUUUGUUGGGAAAGAAAAGCAGCAGGUUAAUACCCCGCUGUUCUGACGGUACCCAAAGAAUAAGCACCGGCUAACUUCGUG
Molecule: ribosomal RNA, 492 nt
Filed under: uncultured bacterium
Lineage: Bacteria
Description: partial 16S ribosomal RNA
Rfam family: Bacterial small subunit ribosomal RNA
Source: RNAcentral